Molecule: non-coding RNA, 85 nt
Organism: Felis catus (domestic cat)
Lineage: Eukaryota; Metazoa; Chordata; Mammalia; Carnivora; Felidae
Source: Rfam
GCCUGGGUGGCUCAGUCGGUUGGGCAGCUGACUUCGGCUCAGGUCACGAUCUCGCAGUCCGUGAGUUCGAGCCCCGCGUCAGGCU